CGGGAGCAAGACUUGAAACAGCGAUCCAUAAAAAAAAAAAAAAAAAAAGCCAAUACUUAUAUCGGCUAGAAUAAGGCGAUAACUAAAAGGAAUUACUGAAUAACUUAGUAAAAUAGAUGUGACUACUAUGGAUGAUCUAAUACUGAAUAAACAAGUAUCCCCUCUAGAUGGAAAAAGAUUUUCUUUGAAAGGUAGUUUUACCCCAUUUGCUAGAGCUGGAAGAAUUCCCAAUGGGCUGGCUUAUUCAGGUCCAAUAUAUUGUUGUAUCCUCGUAGAUAUUUCUCUUUCUAACCAAACAAUUACUAGUACACCUAGUGUGAUUCCUAAUGCAAGAGUCAAAAUAGGCACAAACACCCAUAUGAUCCCGUAGACUUCUUUUAAGAAUUCCAAUCUAGAAAACAAAUUGAUGGCUUGUAGUUCUGUUUUAUUAUUAAUUAUCAUUUCAACGAUCCGAUAAUGAUAUCUCUACUGCCUAGUAUCGUCAUAAUAUCAGCCAAUUUCAUUCUUUUAACUAACUGAGGCAAAACUUGCAAGUUAAUAAAACCCGGUGGGUGAAUUUUCCAUCUCCAAGGAAAAGUACUCGGAUCUCCUAUUAGAAAAA
Molecule: long non-coding RNA, 601 nt
Filed under: Olea europaea subsp. europaea
Lineage: Eukaryota; Viridiplantae; Streptophyta; Magnoliopsida; Lamiales; Oleaceae
Source: RNAcentral